This 953-nucleotide non-coding RNA is filed under the name Afurcagobius tamarensis (Tamar River goby). RNAcentral's name for it is "12S ribosomal RNA". It matches the Rfam family "Bacterial small subunit ribosomal RNA". Lineage: Eukaryota; Metazoa; Chordata; Actinopteri; Gobiiformes; Gobiidae. The record is from RNAcentral.
CACAAGUUUGGUCCUGGCUUUACUGUCAACUUUGAUUAAAUUUAUACAUGCAAGUUUCCGCCUCCCUGUGAGAAUGCCCUACCUAUUCCCCGCCCCGGAAAAAAGGAGCUGGUAUCAGGCACAACCCUACGUUUGCCCACAACACCUUGCUUAGCCACACCCCCAAAGGGAACCCAGCAGUAAUAAACAUUAAGCAAUAAGCGAAAGCUUGACUUAGUUAAUAUCAAGAGGGCCGGUUAAACUCGUGCCAGCCGCCGCGGUUAUACGAGAGGCUCAAGCUGACAAACAUCGGCGUAAAGAGUGGUUAAUAGAAAGAUUCAACUAAAGCCGAACACCUUCAAGGCUGUUAUACGCUCCCGAAGAAAGGAAGCCCCUAAACGAAAGUGGCUUUAAACAUAUUGACUCCACGAAAGCUAGGAUACAAACUGGGAUUAGAUACCCCACUAUGCCUAGCCCUAAACAUAAAUAUAACAACUACCCCAUUUAUUCGCCAGGGAAUUAUGAGCCCCAGCUUAAAACCCAAAGGACUUGGCGGUGCUUUAGACCCCCCUAGAGGAGCCUGUUCUGGAACCGAUACUCCCCGUUCAACCUCACCCUCUCUUGUUCAUCCCGCCUAUAUACCGCCGUCGUCAGCUUACCCCGUGAGGGCUAAAUAGUAAGCAAAAUUGGUAAAGCCCAAUACGUCAGGUCGAGGUGUAGCUUACGAGAGGGGAAGAAAUGGGCUACAUUUACUGAGACAGUAAAUACGGAUUAUGUACUGAAAACACAUCUGAAGGAGGAUUUAGCAGUAAGAGAAGAAUAGAGCGCCUCUCUGAAGCCGGCCCUGAAGCGCGCACACACCGCCCGUCACUCUCCCCGAACAAAAGAAGUAAAUAAAUAAUGCAAGACCACAAAAAAGGGGAGGCAAGUCGUAACAUGGUAAGUGUACCGGAAGGUGCACUUGGACAAAUCUU